CAUUGUAAUAAAUUCUGUUCAUGAAGAUAAUUUAGGCUUUCAAAUAUGGAAGCAAAAUUCUAACUAAUAAACUUUAAUAAAAAAUAUUCAUGGUAGCACAUUAAAACAUUUGUUUUAGGAUAUAUUAUUUAAAAUGGCUUUUAACUUUUCUUGCCUCACUGGGGGAAGAGGAAAAUGGAAGUUGAAAGUACAUUAUCCUGUAAAAACAGCUAAGCAUUCAAUUGUUUGUCUGUUUUCCACAGAUGGGCGGAAACCAUUUCCAAUUAACCAUGGUGAAACUAGUGAUGAAACUUUAUUAGAGGAUGCCAUAGAAGUUUGCAAGAAGUUUAUGGAGCGUGACCCUGAUGAACUAAGAUUUAAUGCGAUUGCUCUUUCUGCAGCAUAGCUUGUCAAUAAUGGAAACACCAAAAACUGUAUUAUUUGCAACUAAAUUUUCUCUGCCAUACACUAACUCAAAAAUUUUGAUAUUUUCAUUAACUUGAUGAUUAAACUUUAUGUGAGUUAAA
Molecule: small RNA, 506 nt
Filed under: Pongo abelii (Sumatran orangutan)
Lineage: Eukaryota; Metazoa; Chordata; Mammalia; Primates; Hominidae
Description: processed transcript
Source: RNAcentral